CAGUAGCCACGGUAAAACGAAGGGGGCUAGCGUUGCUCGGAAUGACUGGGCGUAAAGGGCACGUAGGCGGCGAUCAAAGUCAGGCGUGAAAUUCCUGGGCUCAACCUGGGGGCUGCGUUUGAUACUUGAUUGCUAGAGUGGGGAAGAGGGUCGUGGAAUUCCCAGUGUAGAGGUGAAAUUCGUAGAUAUUGGGAAGAACACCGGUGGCGAAGGCGGCGACCUGGUCCUUUACUGACGCUGAGGCGCGAAAGCGUGGGGAGCAAACAGGAUUAGAUACCCCAGUAGUCCCUGUCUCUUAUAC
RNAcentral lists this ribosomal RNA (301 nucleotides) under uncultured bacterium. RNAcentral's name for it is "partial 16S ribosomal RNA". It matches the Rfam family "Bacterial small subunit ribosomal RNA", at positions 509 to 807 of the family's 1533-position model. The record is from RNAcentral.